This 693-nucleotide ribosomal RNA is filed under the name Triticum aestivum (bread wheat). RNAcentral describes it as "partial small subunit ribosomal RNA". Lineage: Eukaryota; Viridiplantae; Streptophyta; Magnoliopsida; Poales; Poaceae. The record is from RNAcentral.
AUGCGUUGCCGGUUUACUGAUGUUUGCAAUGAUGCAGGAACUCGCAUUAGUCAUCUGGGCUCUGAUGUUCAGAAGAAGCUGAAGGCUGCCUAUACGCUGAUAGAACAACUGUAUACCGGCGCUCAACGAAUCAUCUACACCGCUUCUCACAAUAAGCCGCCCCCGACGUUAAUCAAAGAUACCUUAGACAGGCUAUCUAUGCUGCCUGCCAGGGUAGAAGAGCUGAAGAGUUCUGCUGCAAGGGCUGGCGCUCUGACCGCGCUAACUCGGGCAAAAGCAUGGGUGCCUGAUCUCGACCCGACGGACAUGGCUAAAGGCUACCCAAGCUUGAAAGAAGACAGAUCAGAAUUUUGCACUGAAGAUCUCCGUGCCAUAAACCGGGAAGUGCGUCCCCUGGCUUGUCAACUUGCUGAAGAAGCUGAUCUUUCACAUUAUCAGGCGAGUUAUGAUAUCAAUAACAAGCGGGUUGCUGCACCAGCUCCUGAGGCUCAAAACCUGAUCCCUUCAAUCCGUAAGCACACUUAUGCCCCUGAUAUUGAACCGUCCACCCUUAUAAGCGACGAAGCUGUGUUCCAAGCUUUAACUGGAAUCGACUGGGCAACUAUUGACUUCCAGCCGCUGGGUAGGGACGAAGAAGAUGAACCGGUGCAAGAUGAUCCGCAGCCAUCAGGUCAAGCUGAUAAGCAAUCAUAA